Molecule: non-coding RNA, 131 nt
Filed under: Salmonella enterica subsp. enterica serovar Newport str. CVM 22462
Lineage: Bacteria; Pseudomonadati; Pseudomonadota; Gammaproteobacteria; Enterobacterales; Enterobacteriaceae
Description: EFASI RNA
Rfam family: EFASI RNA
Source: Rfam by way of RNAcentral
AAAGAUCGAUACCGGAGGGGGGGCGAUGAUGCCGCGGAGAAUUCCUGCUCACGCAGGCAGCCUGUACCGCGUACAGUCUGAAACUCCCUAUACCUCAACAAACUGCCACUCCGGCGUGAAGGUAUCGUUCU